RNAcentral lists this long non-coding RNA (928 nucleotides) under Homo sapiens (human). Its description in RNAcentral is "HSALNT0069769". The record is from RNAcentral. Lineage: Eukaryota; Metazoa; Chordata; Mammalia; Primates; Hominidae.
AUUAAUUCAGUCAUCAAAGAUACUCCAAGUGAGUGUUACGAUUUGUAAUAUGGAUUUCAAAGCUGCAGUCUGUUGAUGUUCAGACAGUUUAAGAGGAUUUGCUCAAUAAGCAGAGAUUUGUCUUGCAACAAGACUGUCUGGGCCACCUACAGAAGAAAGCAAGUUACACUCCUCAGAUUUGCCUUUGAAGAAUUCUAGCAACUGGCUGUCUCACACCUACCCUUGCACAUGCGUUGCUGGUUUCGUUCAGCUACAUGAUCCCUUUGCUGUAACUAGGAUGGUCUCCUCACCACCACCGGCACCAGUCUGCCUGAUUCUGAUUUUUCAUGCCAAAUGAUGUGGGAUCUGGAAAGAUGGGCGAAUAGGAAUAGCUCUGGUCUACAGCUCCCAGCAAAACCAACACAGAAGGAACUGCCAUACUUUUUUACACAGCAGCUGCACCAUUUUACAUUCCCACCAGCAAUGCACAACGGUUCUGAUUUCUCUAUGUCUUGUGAUUCCAGAGGCUGCGAGGUCUGAGAUCAAGGAUCUGACACCUGGUGAGGGCCUUUUUGCUGCAUCAUUUCACAUAGAGACAAAAAGAUUCUCACCUGUAAGCUUGAAUUAUGUCUACAUCAUGCUUGGGAAAUGUCCAUAUAUUCUAAGCUUGAAACUGCAGUGAUGAGGACGUCACCACUUCCAGAGAGAACACUUUACUACCAGGCAACUUGAGUACAAUAGGCAGCCACAAAUAUCAUCCUUGCUAGCCAGGAAUGACAAGGAGCAAGCCACAUGAGGAGUCAGAAAAGAUUAUUCCAGGCAGGGCUGAGAUCUGCAUUAUGGUCUGGAGGCUGCCCCAGUCUCUCCUUUACCUCCAUAUUUUUCUCACAGGAGUUGGUCUUACGGAAUUCACAAAUACUGUAUGCCAUUGUAUCACGUCAAGCAGUCC